Molecule: non-coding RNA, 225 nt
Filed under: Bacillus sp. (in: firmicutes)
Lineage: Bacteria; Bacillati; Bacillota; Bacilli; Caryophanales; Bacillaceae
Description: Bacillus sp. T-box sequence
Rfam family: T-box leader
About the family: Uncharged tRNA acts as the effector for transcription antitermination of genes in the T-box leader family. T-boxes are found upstream of many aminoacyl-tRNA synthetase genes and some amino acid biosynthetic genes usually in Gram-positive bacteria. The anticodon of a specific tRNA base pairs to a specifier sequence within the T-box motif, and the NCCA acceptor tail of the tRNA base pairs to a conserved bulge in the T-box antiterminator hairpin.
Source: RNAcentral
UGAAAAGCAAUGAGAGGAACUAGUAACAGGACUUUGUUCUAAAAGAGAGCCGGUGGCUGGUGGAAACCGGUGAAUAAACCCUGUGAAUCCAUCCUCGAGCAAAGCAUGGAACACCCGGUACUACUCGGGAAAAGUAAAUGCUUUCGGUUAAAACCGUUAUGGAUUUAAGGUGGAAAGCUCAUGCUUUCAACUAGGGUGGCAACGCGGGUAACUCUCGUCCCUUUU